Molecule: small nucleolar RNA, 137 nt
Organism: Cavia aperea (Brazilian guinea pig)
Lineage: Eukaryota; Metazoa; Chordata; Mammalia; Rodentia; Caviidae
Source: Ensembl
CUGGACCUGAAUCAAGGCUGGCAGCUUCCUGAUGCUGUUGGCUUCAAGCAGGGGCCUAAAGAGAUAUUGUUCUAUAAUCUGUUGGCCAUUUCAGAACUUGGGCAGUGAAAUGGUCAAUUCAUUAGAAAGAAACAGCU